GAUGAACGCUGGCGGCGUGCCUAAUACAUGCGAGUCGAGCGAACAGACGAGGAGCUUGCUCCUCUGACGUUAGCGGCGGACGGGUGAGUAACACGUGGAUAACCUACCUAUAAGACUGGGAUAACUUCGGGAAACCGGAGCUAAUACCGGAUAAUAUAUUGAACCGCAUGGUUCAAUAGUGAAAGACGGUUUUGCUGUCACUUAUAGAUGGAUCCGCGCCGCAUUAGCUAGUUGGUAAGGUAACGGCUUACCAAGGCGACGAUGCGUAGCCGACCUGAGAGGGUGAUCGGCCACACUGGAACUGAGACACGGUCCAGACUCCUACGGGAGGCAGCAGUAGGGACUCUUCCGCAAUGGGCGAAAGCCUGACGGAGCAACGCCGCGUGGGUGAUGAAGGUCUUCGGAUCGUAAAACUCUGUUAUUAGGGAAGAACAAAUGUGUAAGUAACUAUGCACGUCUUGACGGUACCUAAUCAGAAAGCCACGGCUAACUACGUG
Molecule: ribosomal RNA, 497 nt
Filed under: uncultured bacterium
Lineage: Bacteria
Description: partial 16S ribosomal RNA
Rfam family: Bacterial small subunit ribosomal RNA
Source: RNAcentral